GAGAGCAUGGCCAUGGGAAAAGAUUGUGGUAGCUAUCUGCCAACUCAGAGAGACAGCAGCAGAGUCUCCACAAGUGAAGCAGCUUGUUUACAAAGUGCUCACAGUAGGAAAGAGCUUCUUGUAAACACUUCGGGAAAUAGCAAAUGGCGUGUGCACACGUCCAUAGCCCUGAAAGCUGCAUCUGCUGAGCACCUCAAGCCUCUUUGGAGUCCACCCAGAGAGCCCCAGGAGCGUCUGGACUGUCCCAGUGGUGACCCUAUUCAAUAUGGCCAGGCAUCAGGUGAUACUUCUCCUUCAAGGAUUUUCAGAGUCACUUUUCAGAUGGGUACCUGGACAGCAGCUCGAACAGCCUGCCUGGGACUGUAGCUUGGAGCCUACAAUUCCCAGGACGCUGAGGUUCCUCGGACCAGCUGAGCCAGGCUGUGGUGAGGUGGGUGCCCUGGCAUGCGAAGCAUCAAAUCAGAAUAACUGCACCCAGCGCCUGGUGAGAAGAGGAGAGGGCUCUGGCCAGGCCUAAGGUGUCGCAAAGAUGCUCGGGGUGGGGGGGCAUUCUGGCUUACCCUAGAACUGAAUCUCAGACCUUUGACCCAACCAGCCCAUCCCUUCUUGUUGCAUUGAAUGCUUCCUGCCAAGACCAAUCAGCAUCUAUCAUCUGGCCCCCAGAGUCGAGAGACUUCCCAGUAUGAGGCUGGGGUACUGUUAUCCCCUCUCCUUGUCUUUCCACUCAGGACAACCGCAACUGGAUGGGCUGAUGGUGUCAGCAGCCCCAGGUCGGAGCUCAGGGGGGCUUCCGGCAGACCUGGAAUGUGCCAAGUUUGGAUUACUGGUUUGUUGAGUAAGGUCAGAGAUGGAGGGCUCCAAGUCACCACCUGGUCUCCUACACAAUAGAGACAGGAAGCCAGGCACCCCUGUGGCCCAAAGAAGGAAAAUCUGCUCACGAUUCCAGUUUGCAUCCCUGCUUUCGUAACCUGAGGUCCAUGGUCUGACUGCUUACUCCCAGGUUGCUCCUUUUCCUAGGUCAGGCCAAGUGGGCUCUUCGGGCAGUUGAUACUUUCAGAGAUCAGACCUUCUCUGCCUGGUUUUGUUUCGUGGUUCGGAACCUGAAGCUUUGGCUAUGACCACAGAAUAUCAGAGGGAUGAGGGGGAAGGAGCAAAAGCCAGGGCAAGAGCUGCUGCUAUGCUGACCAGGCAGGGGGAGGGGGGUUCUCUCAAUAAGCUCAGCUCCUUCCUGCUGCUUCCUGGCCCUCUUUUCUCAAUUCCCAUCCCCCUCUUCCUUCCCUCCCUUGUAUUGUGUGCCCAGGCUUCCCCUUCCUUGAGCUAUGCCCUGUUCUCUGGGGGCCCUGCCCCCCCAAAAAACUUGCUAGUCCUCAGUGCUCCUGACCUCUCCUUCUAUUGUGAGCUUUUAAGAUAGAAGAAAAGUUUAGACGGACUGCGUAGCUGGAAGGCAGUCAGGAGUGCUUAGCCCUGAGAAAAGCCUUAGUUGGAGAUUGCUUUGGGGCAUGGGUUGGAUGCGGUGGUCUUAGAAGGCCCUUCUAACUCCCAGGUUUUGUGAUUCUGCGAUAUGAGGGCUGCCUUCAAGGAUCUGGAGGGAGAUCCUAGAAAGGAGGUGUUGGUACUUUUCUGUUUGGGCCCCGAGGGCAAAAACAAGAGACCCGUUUGGGCUGGAUUCAAGACCUCCCUAAUCCCGAGAGCUGGCCCAGAGGGCCGGCUCCCAGUCGUUCCAGCAGACACUGGACGCUCCUUUGUGGGAACUUAUAGAGUGGGCAUUCUCAGCAAGGUCCAGCAUGGGCUACGGGUCUUCCAGCAUCCUUCCUUCCUUCUGUGAUUCUGUGAUGGGCGUAUACCUGUGUCCUGAAGACAUCAUCUGCCCAAGGACAGUGCUUUUAAUGGAGGAAGGGCUGCUGGAAAACAGGUCCACCGGUGUCCUGUGAAUUGGUGCAGCUGCUAUGGACCAUGCCCACAAAGUCAAUGAACUGUACAUAGCCUUUCACCCAGCAAUGUAUUACCAUAAGGCAUAAACCCCAAAGAAAGAGGAAAACCCCCAUUUGUACAAAAUUAUUUAUAGCAGCUUUUUUGUACUAGCCAAGAAUUGGGAACUAUGAGGGCGUCCCCCUCCUGGAAAAUGGCUAAAACAGCGGUAGCAUAUGAAUGUAAUGUAAUGUGACAGAAGACAGAAUGGAUUGUUUCAGGGAAAGCUGGAAAGGCCUCUAUGAACUGAUGCAAAAGGAACUGAGCAGAACCAAGAGAAUGCUUCCUAUGAUGAUAACAACUUUGUCAAUAGAGACAACUUUGAAAGACUUUAGGAUACUGAUCAAUGUCAGGAUAAGCCACGAGUCCAAAAGAAUCAAGAUGAAGCCUGUCAGUCCUUCCAUCGGAGAGAGGGUGAAUGGAAGCUGUAGUGAGAGGGAUAUUUCCAGAUAUGAUCAACAGCAGAAUUUGGGGCUUUUCUUUCUGAUUUCUAACAUGGGAGGAUGUAGUGGGAGGGAUAGAUUAAUAAAAGAAAAAGUGAAAUUCCUAUAAAAAAAACA
RNAcentral lists this long non-coding RNA (2528 nucleotides) under Vombatus ursinus (common wombat). RNAcentral's name for it is "lncRNA (ENSVURG00010024052.1)". Lineage: Eukaryota; Metazoa; Chordata; Mammalia; Diprotodontia; Vombatidae. The record is from RNAcentral.